AUUGAACGCUGGCGGCAUGCCUAACACAUGCAAGUCGAGCGAGCGGCGGACGGGUGAGUAAUGUCUGGGAAACUGCCUGAUGGCGGGGGAUAACUACUGGAAACGGUAGCUAAUACCGCAUACCAUCAGAUUUGCCCAGAUGGGAUUAGCUAGUCGGUGGGGUAACGGCUUACCUAGGCGACGAUCCCUAGCUGGGCUGAGAGGAUGACCAGCCACACUGGGACUGAGACACGGCCCAGACUCCUACGGGAGGCAGCAGUGGGGAAUAUUGGACAAUGGGCGCAAGCCUGAUGCAGCCAUGCCGCGUGUAUGAAGAAGGCCUUCGGGUUGUAAAGUACUUUCAGCGGGGAGGCGUUACCCGAAGAAGAAGCACCGGCUAACUCCGUGCCAGCAGCCGCGGUAAUAC
This 406-nucleotide ribosomal RNA is filed under the name uncultured bacterium. RNAcentral's name for it is "partial 16S ribosomal RNA". It matches the Rfam family "Bacterial small subunit ribosomal RNA", at positions 30 to 526 of the family's 1533-position model. The record is from RNAcentral.